RNAcentral lists this ribosomal RNA (465 nucleotides) under uncultured bacterium. RNAcentral describes it as "partial 16S ribosomal RNA". It matches the Rfam family "Bacterial small subunit ribosomal RNA", at positions 338 to 795 of the family's 1533-position model. The record is from RNAcentral.
CCUACGGGAGGCAGCAGUGGGGAAUAUUGCGCAAUGGGCGAAAGCCUGACGCAGCGACGCCGCGUGAGGGAUGAAGGUCUUCGGAUCGUAAACCUCUGUCAGCAGGGAAGAACGGUCACUGUGCUAAUCAGCAGUGAAUUGACGGUACCUGCAAAGGAAGCACCGGCUAACUCCGUGCCAGCAGCCGCGGUAAUACGGAGGGUGCGAGCGUUAAUGGGAAUUACUGGGCGUAAAGCGCUCGUAGGCGGUAUGUCAAGUCAAGGGUGAAAUCCCCGCGCUCAACGGGGGAACUGCCUUUUAAACUGGCAAACUGGAGUGUGUGUGAGGUUAGUGGAAUUCCAGGUGUAGGCGUGAAAUCCGUAGAUAUCUGGAGGAACAUCAGUGGCGAAGGCGACUCUCUGGCACAUAACUGACGCUGAGGAGCGAAAGCGUGGGUAGCAAACAGGAUUAGCUACCCCAGUAGUC